GUUCAACAUGCACUGUGUGAGUACACACAGUACAAAUCUCCUCAAAGGAUCUACAGAUGAAAGGAGCUUCCUUGUAGCUUUCUCAACUUUCUUUUUUUGGGAGUUCAGGAUGUGGUUUUCAUCCCAACUUGCAUGUCCAUGCUGUCUUCCAGCCUCUCAGAGACUUCUCUCAACUCCUCAUGCGUUCUGCAACAACUCUUCAAGGGUAACGAGUUGCUACGCAGGAGACCCUGUACACCUAUUCAGGAUGUGUUCACCAUCCCUCAAGUGCCACAGCCUCACAAGCUUUCAUUAAC
Molecule: long non-coding RNA, 296 nt
Filed under: Gallus gallus (chicken)
Lineage: Eukaryota; Metazoa; Chordata; Aves; Galliformes; Phasianidae
Source: RNAcentral